CUCCAUCCAGCAACAAUAGUGAUGCUCCUAACACAGAGAUCUAUCCAUAUCAUUCUCCUCUCAAGAAGAUUCAACACUUCCCAGCUCAUUUUCCAGAUGGGGAAACUGAGACCUAAGGCUACCUGA
Molecule: long non-coding RNA, 126 nt
Filed under: Monodelphis domestica (gray short-tailed opossum)
Lineage: Eukaryota; Metazoa; Chordata; Mammalia; Didelphimorphia; Didelphidae
Description: lncRNA (ENSMODG00000043234.1)
Source: RNAcentral